RNAcentral lists this long non-coding RNA (288 nucleotides) under Lathyrus oleraceus (garden pea). RNAcentral's name for it is "Pisum sativum (pea) long non-coding RNA (PSAT_LNC008433)". Lineage: Eukaryota; Viridiplantae; Streptophyta; Magnoliopsida; Fabales; Fabaceae. The record is from RNAcentral.
CUCUUUUUUUUUUGAUAAUGCCCCAGUUGGCUGUUCCGCUGAUUCUCGAGAUGCAGCUGAGUGAUCUUCUUUUCUUGCUCAAGAAGUCGGGAAAUCUCGUCAGGAAUCCCUUCAACAUCAUCUUCGUCCGCUUCAAAUACAGGGAAUUCAAAAUUGGGAGAUGAAUGCUCAAGAAGUCGGGAAAUCUCGUCAGGAAUCCCUUCAACAUCAUCUUCGUCCGCUUCAAAUACAGGGAAUUCAAAAUUGGGAGAUGACGUCCGAUCAUUAUGUUCAAUGGGUUUGAGAAAC